RNAcentral lists this ribosomal RNA (253 nucleotides) under uncultured bacterium. RNAcentral describes it as "partial 16S ribosomal RNA". It matches the Rfam family "Bacterial small subunit ribosomal RNA", at positions 524 to 776 of the family's 1533-position model. The record is from RNAcentral.
UACAGAGGAGGCAAGCGUUGUUCGGAAUUACUGGGCGUAAAGGGCGCGUAGGCGGCCUUCUAAGUCGAACAUGAAAUCCCUGGGCUCAACCCAGGAACUGCGUCCGAUACUGGGAGGCUUGAAUCCGGGAGAGGGAUGUGGAAUUCCAGGUGUAGCAGUGAAAUGCGUAGAUAUCUGGAGGAACACCGGUGGCGAAGGCAGCAUCCUGGACCGAUAUUGACGCUGAUGCGCGAAAGCCAGGGGAGCAAACGGG